AGAACGAACGCUGGCGGCGUGGCUAAGACAUGCAAGUCGAACGGAGUCUUCUGAAGGGCAACCGGAUGAAAAUUCAGUGGCGAACGGGUGCGUAACACGUGAGCAAUCUACCUCCAAGUGGGGAAUAGCUCGGCGAAAGCCGGAUUAAUACCGCAUACGGUCCUCCUUCGCAUGAAGGGGAAACCAAAGCCGGGGUCGCAAGACCUGGCGCUAAGAGAGGAGCUCGCGGCCUAUCAGCUAGUUGGCGGGGUAACGCCCACCAAGGCUAAGACGGGUAGCUGGUCUGAGAGGAUGAUCAGCCACACUGGAACUGAGACACGGUCCAGACACCUACGGGUGCAGCAGUUUCGAAUCAUUCACAAUGGGACGAAAGCCUGAUGGUGCGACGCCGCGUGGGGGACGAAGGUCUUCGGAUUGUAAACCCCUGUACACCGGGAACAAAAGUCGUCUGACUAAUACCAGCCGACUGAUUUAACCCGGAGAGGAAGCGAGUGGCUAACUCUGUGCCAGCACG
This 514-nucleotide ribosomal RNA is filed under the name uncultured soil bacterium. RNAcentral's name for it is "bacterial SSU rRNA". It matches the Rfam family "Bacterial small subunit ribosomal RNA", at positions 26 to 515 of the family's 1533-position model. The record is from RNAcentral.